RNAcentral lists this ribosomal RNA (229 nucleotides) under uncultured bacterium. RNAcentral's name for it is "partial 16S ribosomal RNA". It matches the Rfam family "Bacterial small subunit ribosomal RNA", at positions 118 to 346 of the family's 1533-position model. The record is from RNAcentral.
UGAGCAAUCUGCCCUUCUCAUCGGGAUAAGCGUUGGAAACGACGUCUAAUGCCGAAUACGACCUCCUUUCGCAUGAUCGGAGGUGGAAAGCUCCGGCGGAGAAGGAUGAGCUCGCGGCCUAUCAGCUAGUUGGUGUGGGUAAUGGCUCACCAAGCCUACGACGGGUAGCCGGCCUGAGAGGGUGACCGGCCACACGUGGGACUGAGACACGGCCCAGACUCCGUAGGGA